This 301-nucleotide ribosomal RNA is filed under the name uncultured bacterium. RNAcentral's name for it is "partial 16S ribosomal RNA". It matches the Rfam family "Bacterial small subunit ribosomal RNA", at positions 509 to 807 of the family's 1533-position model. The record is from RNAcentral.
CAGCCGCCACGGUAAUACGUAGGGUGCAAGCGUUAAUCGGAAUUACUGGGCGUAAAGCGUGCGUAGGCGGCUUCUUAAGUCGGAUGUGAAAUCCCUGAGCUUAACUUAGGAAUUGCAUUCGAUACUGGGAAGCUAGAGUAUGGGAGAGGAUGGUAGAAUUCCAGGUGUAGCGGUGAAAUGCGUAGAGAUCUGGAGGAAUACCGAUGGCGAAGGCAGCCAUCUGGCCUAAUACUGACGCUGAGGUACGAAAGCAUGGGGAGCAAACAGGAUUAGAUACCCCCGUAGUCCCUGUCUCUUAUAC